Regulatory RNA element from Roseburia sp. CAG:45, 166 nucleotides. The record is from Rfam. NCBI's taxonomy places the organism in Bacteria, Bacillati, Bacillota, Clostridia, Lachnospirales, Lachnospiraceae.
UGAUGAAAGCUGCUAAGAACACUUGGAAUUUCCUUAAGCAACUGGCAACACUGGCACACGGAUGUGCCAGUGAGACGCAUUUGAGCAUGGAUGCGAAUAUGCGUCGUUUGCCAAAAGAAUCUAUAAUUUAUAUGGAAAUUCUUAGUGUUCCUUGCAGCCUUUUAUG